CCUACGGGCGGCAGCAGUGGGGAAUUUUGCGCAAUGCUCGUAAGAGUGACGCAGCGACGCCGCGUGAAUGACGAAGGCCUUCGGAUCGUAAAGUUCUUUCGACAGGGAAGAAAAUGCCUAUAAGUAACUGUGUAUGUAUUGACGGUACCUGUAUAAGCAGCCCCGGCGAACUCCGUGCCAGCAGCCGCGGUAAUACGGAGGGGGCGAGCGUUGUUCGGAGUGACUGGGCGUAAAGAGCACGUAGGCGGUGUUGUAAGUCAUUAGUCAAAGACUAGAGCUCAACUUUAGUAAGGCUAGUGAUACUAUAAUACGAGAGUAUCAGAGAGGAUUGCGGAAUUCCUGGUGUAGCGGUGAAAUGCGUAGAUAUCAGGAGGAAUACCGUUAGCGAAGGCGGCAAUCUGGCUGGAAACUGACGCUGAGGUGCGAAAGCGUGGGUAGCAAACAGGAUUAGAUACCCCUGUAGUC
RNAcentral lists this ribosomal RNA (465 nucleotides) under uncultured bacterium. RNAcentral's name for it is "partial 16S ribosomal RNA". It matches the Rfam family "Bacterial small subunit ribosomal RNA", at positions 338 to 795 of the family's 1533-position model. The record is from RNAcentral.